GCAGGCUGCAACCCGCCUGCAUGAAGUUGGAAUCGCUAGUAAUCGCGGAUCAGCAUGCCGCGGUGAAUACGUUCCCGGGCCUUGUACACACCGCCCGUCACACCAUGGGAGUCGGUAACACCCGAAGCCUGUAGUCUAACCGCAAGGAGGACGCAGUCGAAGGUGGGAUUGAUGACUGGGGUGAAGUCGUAACAAGGUAAC
RNAcentral lists this ribosomal RNA (201 nucleotides) under uncultured bacterium. RNAcentral's name for it is "partial 16S ribosomal RNA". It matches the Rfam family "Bacterial small subunit ribosomal RNA", at positions 1300 to 1500 of the family's 1533-position model. The record is from RNAcentral.